AUCAGAGCUCAUCCAGUGUAACAGGAACAAGAAGCCAUUCUGAAAACAUACAAAAAACUGAUCAAUCAUCAUCAAAUGGCACCCUGAAGACUGUGUGGUGCUGCAGAAAAGGCUGGAGACAGCAGACUGCAACCGAAACGCCUGCCUGUGCUAAUCACCUCACCUCCUGGUAACAAGCAGAGCAACUUUGCAGGUUCAUUAGUGCUACUGCUCUCUUUAUAAUGCAUUCCGGCAACUGUCUUAAAGAAAGGCCUGCAGACAAAUAUAAUCUCCUCGGGUUUGCAUCACCCCACUGAGAAGCGAUUCUAACCUACCUCUCUCUCGCUCCUGGGGGACACAGCAGGGGUUCUGCGCUUCGGGGGAUGGAGAGGACAGAGAAAGAGAGAAAGGCUGGAAGAACACGACCACUUACCGCUCUUACACACCGGGCAGC
This is a long non-coding RNA of Carassius gibelio (silver crucian carp), 433 nucleotides long. RefSeq lists it as uncharacterized. The transcript has 3 exons. The record is from RefSeq and is a predicted model, not a curated record. Lineage: Eukaryota; Metazoa; Chordata; Actinopteri; Cypriniformes; Cyprinidae.